This 677-nucleotide long non-coding RNA is filed under the name Nicotiana benthamiana. Its description in RNAcentral is "long non-coding RNA (NBEN_LNC027523)". Lineage: Eukaryota; Viridiplantae; Streptophyta; Magnoliopsida; Solanales; Solanaceae. The record is from RNAcentral.
GCCAGCUACUGCUUCUUUGACCAGAACGACCGCCCACGCUUGUUCAAUUCAAUACCACCCCACACGACGAGCAAAUGAUCCUCAGAAGCGUUUCAUUAAUGUUAACUUCGAAAAAUAAAAAUAAAACAAAACACACACACAUGUGAGGAAUUCUGGAGGAAAGAUGAGAAGAAACGGUGGAGCUUGAGUUAAUUCUGCUUAGGGUGUUCGACUGUUUGGUUCCAUUUCAGACGUGGGGAAGGUCUGGUGUUUGACGAUGGUUUUCAAGUGUGGGCUGCGAAGAAGAUGGUCUUGGGCGUCGGAGGGACUGGACGUGACUGGAGCUGACUGGACGUUGGCUUGGUCAGUUGGUUCGCUGGAGAUGGUCGGACCUGUUUGCUCCGGCGAGCUGGGAGGCGGGGUGGACGACGACAAAAGUAGCCGGUCGUUCGGUCAGUAUGGUCGAAAAAGAUGAAGCUAAAGCUUGGAGAUGGUCGGACCUGUUUGCUCCGGUGAGCUGGGAGGCGGGGUGGACGACGACAAAAGUAGCCGGUCGUUCGGUCAGUAUGGUCGAAAAAGAUGAAGCUAAAGCUUUCUUUGUUUGUUUCUCUACAUUGUGGAGAAGAUGACUAGUUUUUGAAGAUGCAGUCCGUUUGGUCAUUGUCCAGUUUGGAGAAGACGACCUCCAAAUCUCCAAU